Molecule: microRNA precursor, 84 nt
Filed under: Bombyx mori (domestic silkworm)
Lineage: Eukaryota; Metazoa; Arthropoda; Insecta; Lepidoptera; Bombycidae
Description: mir-2807 microRNA precursor family
Rfam family: mir-2807 microRNA precursor family
Source: Rfam by way of RNAcentral
UUAAUUCAGAUUUGUAUGGAGUUGAAAUGUAUUACUACGUUUGCCGCUAGGGGCGCUGUUUUAACUGCAUACAAGUUUGACUUA